This 402-nucleotide unclassified non-coding RNA is filed under the name Collinsia sp. BGB-2011. RNAcentral describes it as "partial external transcribed spacer". Lineage: Eukaryota; Viridiplantae; Streptophyta; Magnoliopsida; Lamiales; Plantaginaceae. The record is from RNAcentral.
CUGGGCAGCGACAAUAUCUCGUGCAAGCCUCUUCAUUUAUCGGAACAAGUGCUUUUGCCUUGCCCCGCAUCGAUUUUCCUGUGUUGUAUACCUGUUGUAAAGGCAUCCAUUCAGUUCGAAAUGUCCCUUUUCCACUUAGUGCCGUUUCAUUCGUGAAAUGUUGCGAGGUGGAACUCUAACGGCGGUGGGCGUGUUUCCUUUUUCCCACACUAUUGUGUUGGGUUCUUGGCCCAUGCACAUCGUACGAUCUCUCGGGUUCGGAAUACAAUGUCGGUACAUGGCACUCGUGCCAUUAUCGGUCCCGUAAGAGCGUCCCACGCUUCAAGCGAACGACCGUCGUAGCCGUUAUUAUUUGAGUCCUCGUGGCUUGCUUGAUGCGGUUCCGACGUCGAUGAGGAAUGC